RNAcentral lists this long non-coding RNA (743 nucleotides) under Manacus vitellinus (golden-collared manakin). Its description in RNAcentral is "lncRNA (ENSMVIG00005007272.1)". The record is from RNAcentral. Lineage: Eukaryota; Metazoa; Chordata; Aves; Passeriformes; Pipridae.
UGAAUUAUUAUUUACCCAACUCUGUUGCUGAUAUAUGACUUUCUCCACUAUUUCAGCAAUAUAAUCAAGUUUUAUAGAAACCUGAACUGCCCAGGAACUGGUGACUCAAGGUAAUUCAAUGACUGUAUUUCAUCACUACAUCCAGAAAGUAAAGUGCAACCAAUAGUCAAGUUCAGCCCUGAUGGUAUCAGGAAGUCUGAGUUAAGCUGUAACAUGCUAUUUCACCUUGACUGAAUCUUCAUCAUCUUAUCUUUAUCUAACAGGUCCACCACCGACAGAAGAAGUUAAGACUGAGAAGGAGUGGUUCCAUGUGUGAAACAAGCUUUGCAUUGCUGAAUUUAUAAUAACAGAAAACAUUCGGUUUUCUGUUCUAUUUACAGAGUAGUGUCUCAGGGAGGAAGAAAUACAGUGCCCCAUUUUGGGAUGUCUGUUUUCCUGCCUAUCACUGGCACAUUGCAGUUUCUUUUGAAGAUGCAGCACAUCCCAGGAGCAGUUCUCUGUACUAGCACCAUUUCAGGCUACUCAAUACCACAGAUAAAGGAAGUUUCAGCUAAACUCUCUCAGCAAAUCAUCAAAUGGAGCCUGUCUCUGAGACUUAACUUGAUCUAUGUCAAGGCAUCAGGACGUGGAGGAAGCCCUCGGAUAUGCAGCUGGGAAGAGGAGAGGCUUUCAAGUGUUCAGAGGAGAUAGUGGGACCAAGCAUCCUGCUCUGAAGGUGCGGUCCUCACCAAACCUAUGAGGGG